This is a non-coding RNA of Macaca mulatta (Rhesus monkey), 1454 nucleotides long. The record is from RefSeq and is a predicted model, not a curated record. Lineage: Eukaryota; Metazoa; Chordata; Mammalia; Primates; Cercopithecidae.
GUGGUGGGCUGAGCCAAGAUGGCUGAGGAGAGAGUUGCGAUGUCCUCCUCCAACUCCUCCUCUCUGCAUGCGCCUCAGAGCCGGUACCAAGAACUGGAAGUAGCCCUGGACUCAAGCUCCGCAACAAUCAAUCAACUCAAUGAAAACGUAGAAUCAUUGGAGAAUCCAAGGAUCUGACCAGCCACCUGCAAUAUUCCUUGCAGCGUAUUGGAGAGUUGGAGCAGGCUCCCUCUGCUGUCUCCAUGCAGCAGCAGGAAGAGGACAGGUGAGAACAAGAGGCACUGCAGUUGGAGCAGCAAGUAAAGGAGCUGCAGGAGAAGCUGAGCGAGGAGAUGAAGGAGGACAUCUGGACACUGAGGAGGAGGAGGUGCCUCAGCCCAUGUCAAGCAUCCUGGAGGACCUGGAGAGCUGGGAGGCCAUGGCCAGGAUCGACAAGAGGAGAUGCUGCCAUGAGACCAGGCUUCAUGGUGUCAGUGGGAAUGGUGGAAGGCGAGAACAGCAGAUGCCAGGUGGUGGCAGGAAACAACAACAACGAGAUGGCCCGCAGAAGGCUGCAACACAAAAUCGCAAUUUCCUAGCCAGUUUUCAGACUGAGACAAUUGAGACCUACAGCUCAUGGAUUGUAGGGGAGUCUGGGUAUUUGUGGAAAAAAUCCUGCAACAUUAUCACAUGGUAUUCAUUAAUUAUUCUCCAGAAGGAUCUGGGGUCAUUGAUAAGAGUAACAGUAACUGAUGAAAAGGGAACACCCAGACUGAGGGUCAUUUACGUAGUAUUAGAGCUGACCCUGACACCAUAAGAUCCACAAUGCCACCAUGUCCCCUCUCCAACAAGACUGAGGACACAUGAAGGCUCGGUAAUAAAUGGAACCCUGGAUGAAGAGACCGCAGUCCCCUCCGGUUGUCAUUUCUCUGUCACUAAAUAUGCAACCGAUACGAGUAUGCUUAGAAGCUAACAGAGCUGUCACUUUACUCCCUGACCUGUGGGUAUGAGCCCCUAUAGUAGGAAGAGCCCAGGGGAAGUCUCUGAAACUCCCUCUUCCCACUUCCAGGAGCAACGCAGUAUUCCAGGUGGAAUCACAGAGAUUUAUCACCUCCCUCAACCUUGACCGCCACCUUAUGGUAGUAUUCUUACAUUUUCCCACCUGUCCCUUGUGCUAUUCUUGUCAUCAUUUUACUUCCACAUGUUAUAAACCCCACAGUAUGUUACUAGUUUUGCCUCAAUGAUUUCUAGACAUCAAAAAAUGAAAAAAUAGGAUCUUUUCAAUGUAUCCAUGUAUUUAUGAUGUCAGUGGUCUCCAUUCCUUUGUGUAGAUCCAAAUUUCUAUCUAGUAUCCUUUUUCUUCUGACCAAAGAGCUGCUUUUAACACUUCUCAGAGUGUAGGCCUGCUGGUGAUCAGCCUGGCUUUUGUGUGAAAAAGUCUUUAUCUUUUCUUCAUUAAAGUUUUUGAAAACUGU